Long non-coding RNA from Numida meleagris (helmeted guineafowl), 2417 nucleotides. RefSeq lists it as uncharacterized. Lineage: Eukaryota; Metazoa; Chordata; Aves; Galliformes; Numididae. The record is from RefSeq and is a predicted model, not a curated record. The transcript has 3 exons.
CUGCGUGAGGUCUCUGGGUAAUAAGAGCACAGGAAAUGAGUGCUUUUGGCGUUCUCUUGAAAAAUGUAAACUUCUUGUCUGCUGCUGGCUGUUAGGCAAUAGGGAAAGCGGCUGCUGCUGCUUGGGGAGGGGAGAAUGGAGCGAAAGCAACGCCGGGGCCGUUAAAAUGGACAAGCUCUGUCCCACUCAAUGGAUUCUUAUGUUUUACAAGUGACGCCAGGUGAACUAGUGAAGGGCUGCCACAGGAAGGCACAGCAAAAGGGAAGAUACCCACUGGAGGAUAUUCAUGGGUACACCCGAAUGAUUCCUCAACAACAGGAUAAGAAGAACUCAUCUCCAGAAUCACAGAACCAUUAAGAAAGUAGCUGUUGCUGGAGGGAGAAGAGGACUUUGCUGCCAGAGCAGGACCAUGAGCCCUGGUGUUUUGCUGCCGAAAUGAGCCUGCACUUGAAGCCCACUUGUAGAAGCAGCUCACCUGCAGAAGCAGCCCUGCAGCAGGCAGCCCAAACCCAGCCCUGCAGCAUGCUGCCUCGGGGCAGAGAGCACGUGGACCUGCAUGCAGAGAUUUGGGCUGGGUGCUUGCAGAAUGACGUGCACGUGGCUGGGUGUGUGCACCAGCCCUCCCGUGGUUUUCUCUUCCUUGGACACAGACACACCGGGCAAGAACUCCUAAAGCUAACAGGAUGCUUGCUUUUACAUGGCAGCAUGCCAGAGUGACCAGGAAAAACUACUGACUGCUGCGUUAGUCACCGCUGAACUCAAAUAUAAAGAUAUGAGUGCCUUGCACGGAAGGUCGUGUUGUUCCCAUACCGCCAUCAUUCACCUUGGCAUUUCCUACAAUAAAGUGCAAAGCACUGGGGCUUUGCCGCAGGAUCAAACCCUGACAGCUAACGCAUUUUUUUCCCCUUUUUCCUCCCUAACGUGCUAAAUUUUUUCCUCUUGCCCCCUUUUGGCAGACAGAAGUGCUCCUGGGGAGCGUGCUCUAUAGGGGAUGGCUGGAGCACAACAAGCAUCGUCUGCCCCAGAGAUGUCUCGGCCCCAGCGCGGCAAUCCCAGCAGAUAUUUAGCUGGAGAGGUCACCUGGAGCCCAGCCAUGCUCCUGCGGUUUCUUCGUGCUAUUUUUGUUGUGCACAGAGCAGAGGAGAGGCAAUAUUUGUACGACCGGCAGCUCAAAGGUUAUUGGUUUUGCUCAACAUUUGUUUUUCAAAUGUAAUACUGCUGUCCCCGCAUUACUGCCAGAGGAGUUUCAAAACCUGGCUCGGAGCCUGUGGAUUUCCGUUCUGUGCUAACAGCCCGCUCCAAGGAAAAGUGCACAGGAUGAGUUUCCUGGAAAAGCAUGGGAAAAUUUCACACCAAGCCUGCUGGGAACAGGAGGUGAGCACGGAGAUACGUUGCCUGCAAAGGGACAGCACCCAGUGCAUCAUUCCGAGCCCCAUCUCGGUGUCACAGCUGAUAGAACCUCAGGUGGAACGGUCCCAAAUUCCCCCUUUCCUUGGAGGUGCUGCCUGUGCCCAUUGACAAGGGAUGGGGAUUGCACACGGCUCCCACACGCAGCUGUCGCAGCACGAGCCGACUAUAAAAGCACCAUAUGCUGCUCCGCGCCGCGAGAGCUGCAGAUCACCGCAAGAAGCCCUUUAAAUAUUCUGGAAUUUAAUUACGAGACUGUCGAUGCUUUAAACACAGGAACGCAUAAUGUCUAACGCAAAGGAAGCUCAUCUGGAAGGUGCUGGGAGGGAAAAGCCCUGGAGGGUGCCGCGUGCUGGUAUCGUGGGAUGCACACAGUGGUGUCACCCGUGGGUAGGAGAUGUGCCCUGGUGCUGGGAUGCUGAGCCACCCGAGUUACCUUAGGCACACGAGCACCUGUGAGGUUGCUUAGGUUUGACCCUUGUAAAAAUAUCUUCUUUCCUAAAACACACUGGUGUGCACUUGCACAGCUCAACCCCUUCUCCGUGUCACCUGCCCUGUGGUGGUAGGAAAAUGGUUAUUAUCUUCCUCUGUGUGACAUGCCGUAGGUGUUGUGUCUACAAAAAUGAAGCUGUGUUUAACAUAGCAGUGUGAUUAUCGGCCUAAUGGCAGGAAGAGAAGACGCCUUUGGGAUGAGAACCAAAGCAUGGCUCUUGCAGAAUGUCCCCAGAGAAGUGUCCCUGUGCCCAGGACACCCACCCAGCAGGUCUGCUGGACCUGGGGCACCAGCAGCAGAGUGCAUAGCAAACCCAUUUGUCAUAGAUUGUUCCUAUCUUCCCACUUCAGUUAACAUAAAGAACUCAAAUGAAAGAAGACAGAAUGUGUAUUUUCCAAGCAAGUAAAGAAGAAAGUGCUUGGUAAAGACUUUGGUCAGGCUGAAUAUUAGGAAAAAUUUCUUUUCCAAAGAGUGGUCGGGCACUGGCACAGCUGCCCAGGGAGUGAGGUGUAACCAU